AUACGUAGGGGGCGAGCGUUGUCCGGAAUGAUUGGGCGUAAAGGGCGCGUAGGCGGCCCGGUAAGUCUGGAGUGAAAGUCCUGCUUUUAAGGUGGGAAUUGCUUUGGAUACUGUCGGGCUUGAGUGCAGGAGAGGUAAGUGGAAUUCCCAGUGUAGCGGUGAAAUGCGUAGAGAUUGGGAGGAACACCAGUGGCGAAGGCGACUUACUGGACUGUAACUGACGCUGAGGCGCGAAAGUGUGGGGAGCAAACAGGAUUAGAUACCCUGGUAGUCCACACUGUAAACGAUGAAUGCUAGGUGUAGGGGGUAUCGACCCCUUCUGUGCCGCAGUUAACACAAUAAGCAAUCCGCCUGGGGAGUACGGCCGCAAGGUUGAAACUCAAAUGAAUUGGCGGGG
This 397-nucleotide ribosomal RNA is filed under the name uncultured bacterium. Its description in RNAcentral is "partial 16S ribosomal RNA". It matches the Rfam family "Bacterial small subunit ribosomal RNA", at positions 523 to 918 of the family's 1533-position model. The record is from RNAcentral.